UGGGGAAUUUUGGACAAUGGGCGAAAGCCUGAUCCAGCAAUGCCGCGUGUGUGAAGAAGGCCUUCGGGUUGUAAAGCACUUUUGUCCGGAAAGAAAUCCUCUGGGUUAAUACCUCGGGGGGAUGACGGUACCGGAAGAAUAAGCACCGGCUAACUACGUGCCAGCAGCCGCGGUAAUACGUAGGGUGCAAGCGUUAAUCGGAAUUACUGGGCGUAAAGCGUGCGCAGGCGGUUUUGUAAGACGGAUGUGAAAUCCCCGGGCUUAACCUGGGAACUGCAUUCGUGACUGCAAGGCUAGAGUAUGGCAGAGGGGGGUAGAAUUCCACGUGUAGCAGUGAAAUGCGUAGAGAUGUGGAGGAAUACCGAUGGCGAAGGCAGCCCCCUGGGCCAAUACUGACGCUCAUGCACGAAAGCGUGGGGAGCAAACAGGAUUAGAUACCCUGGUAGUCCACGCCCUAAAACGAUGUCAACUAGUUGUUGGGGAUUCAUUUCCUUAGUAACGUA
This 503-nucleotide ribosomal RNA is filed under the name uncultured bacterium. RNAcentral describes it as "partial 16S ribosomal RNA". It matches the Rfam family "Bacterial small subunit ribosomal RNA", at positions 355 to 850 of the family's 1533-position model. The record is from RNAcentral.